Long non-coding RNA from Branchiostoma floridae (Florida lancelet), 1182 nucleotides. RefSeq lists it as uncharacterized. Lineage: Eukaryota; Metazoa; Chordata; Leptocardii; Amphioxiformes; Branchiostomatidae. The record is from RefSeq and is a predicted model, not a curated record. The transcript has 3 exons.
GGGUCGGGUCACACAGCCACGCCACGGUGGCAGUCAGGAGAGGACACGACGUGGGAGAGGACAGAGUAAAGUAGAGUAGAGUACUAGAGCUGAGGGCUGAUAAACAGAAUGAAGUUGAAUUUAUCAACUAUAUGGCUGUCACCUGUAUUUGAACGUGCACGUGACAUUCUGGUAGUGCAGCUGGGGUGGAGAUGAGGCAAGUUCAACCAAGAUAGAGAUGGGAACUGGGAGAUCGAGAGAACUGAGGACGUGGCAAGGCUACUGGGCCUGUGAAGUGUGAUGGGUGAAGCGCGGGGCAGGGAGGCAGAAAGAACACAUAUAAAGAUGCCUGCCGAUCCCUGACUCUGAAGAGAACGCCAGCCCGGAGUAAAUCUUCCAUGACCACUGUAUUGACACUCGGGGAGCGAGGCAAGAUGCGGCGGGUACGGGCGGUGGAGGGCUUAGUGGGAAAGACAUCUCAAACUACUCGUCAGAAGGAAAGUUACAGUGCCGCAGGGAUACGUACUUGACGAUCACGUCAGACGUUGGCGAUUCCAGUAGGUCAAUCAUCGAAGCAGCUGCGGGUCAACGUCUUUCGGUAUGUCGUCAAGGCCAACCUACCGGACAAAAGCGAAGACGACGAGGUGUUCCUGACAGACGUAUACCAUGUCCAUCAGGACGACACAUUCCCGCCACACCCAACAUAGAGACUCUUACCGCCACAAGGGAAGUAGGUCGAGUCCUUUCACGAGAAGUGGCCAUCGCUGAGAGGAGCCAGAAUAAACGUUUGUGCGGCUUGAAAAUUUUGAACAGAGGGGGGCACAUAACAUCCAGAACAGCGCCAUCGACAGAAGGAAGGCAACAUGAGGGAAGUAGAGGCCAGUAGCAGAGCCAAGACGUGUAGCCGAUAGAUUUCGAUCAUACUUGUACAUGUAUAGAAAACCUGACAUGACACCAGUUAUAGAAUUCACGGAUUGGCUGAUUGAUUUACUGUUUGUAUAUCACAAAUAUGUAUUUUAGUGUAUACAUUGUAGUAGUUUAUUUUAUAUGUAUAUCAAUGGACAUUAGAUGAAAUAACCGUUGUUUCGCGGAGUGACCUGUCUGUUUGAAACACCAAAAUUUGAACACGAGAUGUAAUGUAUUUGUAUGACAGAGGGUCAGAGAGUACAGUUCAGAAGAGAAAGACCGAGGUUAGCGAGGUCA